CUACGGGGCGCAGCAGUAAGGAAUAUUGCACAAUGGGGGAAACCCUGAUGCAGCAACGCCGCGUGGACGAAGAAUGCCUUCGGGUCGUAAAGUCCUUUUCUGAGGGAAGAGGAAGGACGGUACCUCAGGAAUAAGUCUCGGCUAACUACGUGCCAGCAGCCGCGGUAAAACGUAGGAGGCGAGCGUUAUCCGGAUUCACUGGGCGUAAAGGGCAAGUAGGCGGUUGUUUAAGUUAGGUGUGACAUCUCUCGGCUUAACUGGGAGGGAGCGCUUAAAACUAGGCAACUAGAGGGCGGAAGAAGGGGGUAGAACUCCAAAUGUAGCGGUGGAAUGCUCAGAUAUUUGGAAGAAUACCAGUGGCGAAGGCGACCCCCCGGUCCGUGCCUGACGCUGAGAGGCGAAAGCUAGGGUAGCGAACGGGAUUAGAUACCCUCGUAGCC
RNAcentral lists this ribosomal RNA (440 nucleotides) under uncultured bacterium. RNAcentral describes it as "partial 16S ribosomal RNA". It matches the Rfam family "Bacterial small subunit ribosomal RNA", at positions 339 to 795 of the family's 1533-position model. The record is from RNAcentral.